CAAGAAGCAGACGGCCGAGUUUAUUAAACUCCACCGAGACAGCGGUGACGCUAAUCAGAAGACUAGACCGUCCAAUUUCACGCCUUUAAAUUUUAAAGGCGUGUUUGUGUGUGUUUUUAUACAAUUGCUAUUAUGUUUGCACUUUAUGUGUAAUUUUACUGACUGCAGAGAUCAGUAAGAUGUGUGUAUUUUUUAUUUAUUAGUUUUAUUUAUUUAAUAUUAUUUUUUAAUUGAAUGACUGUCUAGUAGUUCACAGAUGUCGAAAAACUGAGUGUGGUAAAGCCACUGAUUUUGUUUAUGUAUAUUUCUGUAAUCUGCACAUUGUACUGACUUUCAUUUUAAUGUUUACACCAGGGUUCCUUGUCAGCAAUUUAUGCUCAGAUGUUUGUAAGCUAAAAAUAAACUAUUGUGUAUGUUCAAAUAUACUGUUGUGAUUGAAGAAGUUAAAUAAAAAUGUCAGUCAUCAAUUCAUGCAUCACCUCAUGUCAUCAUAACAGAGGUCUGUCUUCCAGGAAAGAACAGUUUAAAAUUAAUGUAAUAUAGUAUUGGCCAUACUAUAUGAUGUAUUGCUUGUCUUUGUUUAAUAAUACAGAAGACAAAGACCUUAAAAAAUAAUCGCAUAUCGCAUCGCAAUCGCAAUAUUGGGGCAAAAAAUCGCAAUUAGAUUAUUUUCCAUAAUCGUUCAGCCCUAAUUCCAACUGUAAGUGGUGUUAUUGCAAACCACAGCAACCACAACCUUGCAGACCACAUAAAGCUAAGUCACCACUGCUUUCCUCACUCAGUAACUGCAGUAACUGCCUCAAUAGAUGUUAGCAUCACCAUAAGAACUGUGCACCCAGAACAUCAAGGCCAAGUAUCUCCUGCUGGUGUAAAGGUGGCACACUACUUUUAUCACUGCAUUGUAAGAACUGUACAGUUUUGUUUUUGUACAGUUUCUGAUUUUAAAUCAAUGCUGGUGCAAGUUUAAUGUCCAGGAUGAAAAACAAAAAAAACAAACCCUAUUUUAGGCCAAAUUCUGGAAACUAAAGUCUACCGAUACAGUUUGGUAGGUCACAAGUUCACAUUCCAGCUUGUCAUCCAAAUAUGGUCACUUGUGUCAUCAGCAAAACCCCAAAUUACUAAUGUAAAAAAAAAAGUUCAAAACAGAGCUUCACAAAUCAGCACGCUUUGUUGUAGUGACUAUGUUAAUUUAUUAUACAAAGUCUUUCAUGUUGCCCUAGAUAUGUCCUGCAGUGUGUGUGUCUGCAUAUGUUUUGGUGCAUUUAGCUAUAAAAAUACAUUUCUGCAUUAUUUCCCUAGUCAAGUAACCCUAACAUGUUAAAUGGUUGUCUCUAAGCUCUCUCCAUUAUAGAUAGCUGUGGUAAAAUAUAAAUGACUGGGUUGAGUGGCUUCUCCCAGCGUAGUAUGCUGAGCUAUGUUGAGUGUGGAGGGGGUCAAAAGGCUGGGAGAACUGACGUUUUGCAGAGGUUGUGAAGGAAAACCCACAAAUAUGAUAAGUC
This is a long non-coding RNA of Astatotilapia calliptera (eastern happy), 1499 nucleotides long. The record is from Ensembl. Lineage: Eukaryota; Metazoa; Chordata; Actinopteri; Cichliformes; Cichlidae.